AGAAAGCAUAGAAGUGCAUAACUCCAUGAGGCAAAUGUCUCAGACAGAAGAUUAUGUAUCCUACCAUUUACAAGAAAAUGUAGCAAUACACAUUCUGAUACCCAAAAAAUUUCAUUACAGGAUUAGCUACUGAAUACCAACGUAAAGGUUCUCCUUCUUUCGUGCUAAUAUUCCUACGUUCCUUGCUCAAGUAAGCAGUGGUCAUCUAAUAAACACCUAAUGCACACACCCCAUACACCAUUCUUUCUCAGGCAUGGAAUUUUACUUGGCUAAAGUUAUGGGUCAUGAAUUCUCCUUGUCAUGCAUAAACAAUAUCUACAACUCGUCUAUUAACUCCUAAUACACACACGGUAUUUACCAUCCUUCAAUUCUUCUCAAACAUGGUAUUUCACUUGGCUAAAAUUAUGGGUCGUGAAUUCUCCUUGUCAUGCAUAUACAAUAUCUAAACUCAUCUAUAAACUCCUUUGGCCCAAGAGUAACCUACUGCUUUCUUAAGGUAAGAUGAAAAACUGGUCCUGAAAUGGUAGUAGUUAACUUCAUUUGCUAAAAGAUUGAAUACACCAAACCAAAUCUAGAACAGGAAACAGCUCAAUCGGUGAGCAUUUACAAAAAAAGACACAGCUCUAGGAAAAGACAUGCAUAUAGUAAUGAUAAGAUGAAAAACUGGUCCUGAAAUAGUAGUAGCUAACUUAAUUUGCUAAAAGAUUGAAUACACCAAACCAAAUCCGGAACAGGAAAAAGCUCAAUCGGUGAGCAUUAGCAAAAAAGACACAGCUCUAGCAAUAAAGACAUCAGCAUUAGCAAUCAGUGAAUUUUCCUACGUCAUGCAUAUACAGUAUCUAAACUCGUCUAUAAACUCCUUUGGCCCAAGAGUAACCUACUGCCCUUUUAAGUUAAGAUGAAAAACUGGCCCUGCAAUGUUAGUAGUUCACUUGCUAAAAGAUUCAAUACACCAAACCAAAUCCUGAACAGGAAACAGCUCAAUCGGUGAGCAUUAGCAAAAAAGACACGCUCCAGGAAAAGACAGAAAUAUCGAAGCUGACUCCAUCGGUGAGUAGGAAGCAGCUCAAUCGGCGAGCAGGAAAUGGAACGUGAUUAUCAAGAUAUAACGCUUAAAUUUUUUUUCUUUACCAAACACAUGCAUUUCAAAUUGUAAAUAGCCAAAAAGACAGAGAAUAUAGAAGUUGACUCCACGAAACAGAUCUGCACCCGACUAAAAAUUAUCCCUAAACGUAAAGAAACGAGAAACAUAUAUUUCAGUUNNNNNNNNNNNNNNNNNNNNNNNNNNNNNNNNNNAUUGACGGAAUCGGUGUCGGAAUUGGAUACGACUAGGGUUAGGGCUUUUGUUUGGGAUAGCUUUCUUUUCCCCCCCUUUUCUCAGCGCAGUCCCUGAUCCUCAGUCCCGAUUCUAUUGUCAGUGCUUUGUACACUGCCUGAGCGCGUGGAUAUGUUUCGAAGCGAGCAUACUUGGUUUGCGAAAUGUACAUAAAUACCAUAACGAACUCAGAACACUCAAACGUCGCCGUUCUAAAUCACGUUCACCGCUUGGACUUUUUUCUUUUUCAAAUUAAAACAUAAUUAAUAAACUAACUGGAUAAAAAAGAACAAUAAUCAGAGGAAUAUACCCUUUCAAAGAAAAUGCUUAAA
RNAcentral lists this long non-coding RNA (1647 nucleotides) under Carica papaya (papaya). RNAcentral's name for it is "long non-coding RNA (CPAP_LNC011340)". The record is from RNAcentral. Lineage: Eukaryota; Viridiplantae; Streptophyta; Magnoliopsida; Brassicales; Caricaceae.